GACGAACGCUGGCGGGGUGCUCAACUCAUGCAAGUCGAACGGAAAGGCUAUGUUUUAGUGGGUUGUCCGAGUGGGGAACGAGCGAGGAACACGGGGGUAACCCGGGCGUGACUUCGGGAUAUGUUCAGGGAAAGGGGGCGAAGAGUGGAGAGGAGGUACUGCGGCACGGUGGGGGUGGGAAAGGUUCGGCGGCUGGGGAUGGACUCGCGGCUUAUCAGCUUGUUGGUGGGGUAGUGGCUUACCAAGGCUUUGACGGGUAGCCGGCCUGAGAGGGUGACCGGCCACAUUGGGACUGAGAUACGGCCCAGACUCCUACGGGAGGCAGCAGUGGGGAAUAUUGCACAAUGGGCGGAAGCCUGAUGCAGCAACGCCGCGUGCGGGAUGACGGCCUUCGGGUUGUAAACCGCUUUCGCCUGUGACGAAGCGUGAGUGACGGUAAUGGGUAAAGAAGCACCGGCUAACUACGUG
Molecule: ribosomal RNA, 468 nt
Filed under: uncultured bacterium
Lineage: Bacteria
Description: partial 16S ribosomal RNA
Rfam family: Bacterial small subunit ribosomal RNA
Source: RNAcentral